AUGAUUUUGGUCUGACUUACCAUGCAGUCGAACGGCAGCACGGGUGCUUGCACCUGGUGGCGAGUGGCGAACGGGUGAGUAAUACAUCGGAACGUGUCCUGUAGUGGGGGAUAGCCCGGCGAAAGCCGGAUUAAUACCGCAUACGAUCUACGGAUGAAAGCGGGGGAUCUUCGGACCUCGCGCUAUAGGGGCGGCCGAUGGCGGAUUAGCUAGUUGGUGAGGUAAAGGCUCACCAAGGCGACGAUCCGUAGCUGGUCUGAGAGGACGACCAGCCACACUGGGACUGAGACACGGCCCAGACUCCUACGGGAGGCAGCAGUGGGGAAUUUUGGACAAUGGGCGAAAGCCUGAUCCAGCAAUGCCGCGUGUGUGAAGAAGGCCUUCGGGUUGUAAAGCACUUUUGUCCGGAAAGAAAUCCCUGGUCCUAAUAUGGCCGGGGGAUGACGGUACCGGAAGAAUAAGCACCGGCUAACUACGUGCCAGCAGCGGCCGGUAAUA
Molecule: ribosomal RNA, 498 nt
Filed under: Burkholderia sp. TW75A
Lineage: Bacteria; Pseudomonadati; Pseudomonadota; Betaproteobacteria; Burkholderiales; Burkholderiaceae
Description: bacterial SSU rRNA
Rfam family: Bacterial small subunit ribosomal RNA
Source: RNAcentral